GACGAACGCUGGCGGCGUGCUUAACACAUGCAAGUCGAACGGAAAGGCCCUGCUUUUGUGGGGUGCUCGAGUGGCGAACGGGUGAGUAACACGUGAGUAACCUGCCCUUGACUUUGGGAUAACUUCAGGAAACUGGGGCUCAUACCGGAUAGGAGCUCCUGCUGCAUGGUGGGGGUUGGAAAGUUUCGGCGGUUGGGGCUGGACUCGCGGGUUAUCCGCUUGUUGGUGGGGUAGUGGCUUACCAAGGCUUUGACGGGUAGCCGGCCUGAGAGGGUGACCGGCGACCAUGGUACUACGGGACGGACCAGAAGCCUACGGGACGCAGCGGUGGAAAGUAUUGCACAAUGAGCGGAAGCCAGAUGUAGCAGCGCCGCGUGCGUGAUGACGGCUUUCGAGGUGUAAACAGAUUUCGAAUGAGACGAGGCGUGAUUGACGGUAAUGGGUAAGAAAGCACCGGCUAACUACGUG
This 468-nucleotide ribosomal RNA is filed under the name uncultured bacterium. RNAcentral's name for it is "partial 16S ribosomal RNA". It matches the Rfam family "Bacterial small subunit ribosomal RNA", at positions 28 to 507 of the family's 1533-position model. The record is from RNAcentral.